Molecule: ribosomal RNA, 906 nt
Filed under: uncultured bacterium
Lineage: Bacteria
Description: bacterial SSU rRNA
Rfam family: Bacterial small subunit ribosomal RNA
Source: RNAcentral
GAGUUUGAUCCUGGCUCAGGACGAACGCUGGCGGCGUGCUUAACACAUGCAAGUGGUGCGACGAACCAGGGCUUGCCCUGGGGCAAAGCCGCGAACGGGUGAGUAACACGUGAGUAAUCUGCCCCGAUGACCGGGACAACCCGAGGAAACUCGGGCUAAUACCGGAUGUGGUGCACAGGCAUAAGCCUGUCCACUAAAGGAAGCUUCGGCCUCCGCAUUGGGAGGAGCUCGCGGCCCAUUAGCUUGUUGGUGGGGUAACGGCCUACCAAGGCAACGAUGGGUAGCUGGUCUGAGAGGACGAUCAGCCACACUGGGACUGAGACACGGCCCAGACUCCUACGGGAGGCAGCAGUGGGGAAUCUUGCGCAAUGCGCGAAAGCGUGACGCAGCAACGCCGCGUGGGGGAAGACGGCCUUCGGGUUGUAAACCCCUUUCAGGAGGGACGAAGGUUCGCCGGUGAAUAGCCGUGCGGAUUGACGGUACCUCCACAAGAAGCUCCGGCUCCCUACGUGCCAGCAGCCGCGGUAAUACGUAGGGAGCAAGCGUUGUCCGGAAUCAUUGGGCGUAAAGCGCGCGUAGGUGGCCUCAUAAGUCCGCUGUGAAAGUCAAAGGCUCAACCUUUGAAAGCCGGUGGAUACUGUGAGGCUAGAGUACGGAAGAGGCGAGUGGAAUUCCUGGUGUAGCGGUGGAAUGCGCAGAUAUCAGGAGGAACACCAAUAGCGAAGGCAGCUCGCUGGGACGUUACUGACACUGAGGCGCGAAAGCGUGGGGAGCGAACAGGAUUAGAUACCCUGGUAGUCCACGCCGUAAACGAUGGGUACUAGGUGUGGGAGGUGUCGACUCCUCCCGUGCCGUCGCUAACGCACUAAGUACCCCGCCUGGGGAGUACGGCCGCAAGGCUAAAAC